Molecule: non-coding RNA, 28 nt
Filed under: Bombyx mori (domestic silkworm)
Lineage: Eukaryota; Metazoa; Arthropoda; Insecta; Lepidoptera; Bombycidae
Source: RNAcentral
UGUCUAAUGUGGUGACCAUAUAAAAUGU